RNAcentral lists this long non-coding RNA (510 nucleotides) under Vombatus ursinus (common wombat). Its description in RNAcentral is "lncRNA (ENSVURG00010007253.1)". Lineage: Eukaryota; Metazoa; Chordata; Mammalia; Diprotodontia; Vombatidae. The record is from RNAcentral.
CUGCUGGGGCGAGCGAGGGGCAGCCCCGGCCAGAGGCGGAGGAGGAGGAGGAGGACGGAGAGGGGGAGGAAGAUGGUGGAGCUGGAGGCAACAGCGGCCAGAGGGAAGGCUCGUGCCCAGGCUGGCCGCCCACCCUGUCAUUACCUCCGCGCCGCCUGCUAACGUGGGCCCCGCCAGACCCCAGCUGUCAGGCUCCAAGGUCUGAAGCCACUUGGGCUGUUGGGCCACCCUGGACACUCAGCUUCUCAUUUGUCCUUUCUCACUACUUCCUCUAUUUCUGGAGCCACAGGCUGAGUUGCAUCUGCUGACAUUGGUGGGUCUUAUUGCCCCUGCCUCUGAAUGAACUGAAUACCGUGGUGCAGCAGAGAGUUCAAGGCUGGGAAUCAGGAGAGACGGGGAUUUGAAUCUGCCUGCCUCUGAUGCUUACAGACUGCCUGAUCCAGGGUAAGUCAUAAAAAUUUCUGUAUAAAUGUCAACUCUGCUAAUUUCCUGCUCUGCUGCCUCACCCUA